AUUGAACGCUGGCGGCAGGCCUAACACAUGCAAGUCGAGCGGAUGAAGGGAGCUUGCUCCUGGAUUCAGCGGCGGACGGGUGAGUAAUGCCUAGGAAUCUGCCUGGUAGUGGGGGAUAACGUCCGGAAACGGGCGCUAAUACCGCAUACGUCCUGAGGGAGAAAGUGGGGGAUCUUCGGACCUCACGCUAUCAGAUGAGCCUAGGUCGGAUUAGCUAGUUGGUGGGGUAAAGGCCUGCCAAGGCGACGAUCCGUAACUGGUCUGAGAGGAUGAUCAGUCACACUGGAACUGAGACACGGUCCAGACUCCUACGGGAAGCAGCAGUGGGGAAUAUUGGGCGAUGGGCGAAAGCCUGAUCCAGCCAUGCCGCGUGUGUGAAGAAGGUCUUCGGAUUGUAAAGCACUUUAAGUUGGGAGGAAGGACAGUAAGUUAAUACCUUGCUGUUUUGACGUUACCAACAGAAUAAGCACCGGCUAACUUCGUG
RNAcentral lists this ribosomal RNA (484 nucleotides) under uncultured bacterium. Its description in RNAcentral is "partial 16S ribosomal RNA". It matches the Rfam family "Bacterial small subunit ribosomal RNA", at positions 30 to 507 of the family's 1533-position model. The record is from RNAcentral.